This 120-nucleotide ribosomal RNA is filed under the name Thinopyrum intermedium. Lineage: Eukaryota; Viridiplantae; Streptophyta; Magnoliopsida; Poales; Poaceae. RNAcentral also lists the same sequence under 1 other name. The record is from RNAcentral.
GGAUGCGAUCAUACCAGCACUAAAGCAUCGGAUCCCAUCAGAACUCCGAAGUUAAGCGUGCUUGGGCGAGAGUAGUACUAGGAUGGGUGACCUCCUGGGAAGUCCUCGUGUUGCAUUCCC